Molecule: ribosomal RNA, 459 nt
Filed under: uncultured bacterium
Lineage: Bacteria
Description: partial 16S ribosomal RNA
Rfam family: Bacterial small subunit ribosomal RNA
Source: RNAcentral
CCUACGGGAGGCAGCAGUGAGGAAUAUUGGUCAAUGGACGAGAGUCUGAACCAGCCAAGUAGCGUGAAGGAUGACUGCCCUAUGGGUUGUAAACUUCUUUUAUAUGGGAAUAAAAUGUUCCACGUGUGGGCUUUUGUAUGUACCAUAUGAAUAAGGAUCGGCUAACUCCGUGCCAGCAGCCGCGGUAAUACGGAGGAUGCGAGCGUUAUCCGGAUUUAUUGGGUUUAAAGGGUGCGUAGGCGGAAUAUCAAGUCAGCGGUAAAAAUUCGGGGGUCAACCCCGUCGUGCCGUUGAAACUGAUGUUCUUGAGUGGGCGAGAAGUAUGCGGAAUGCGUGGUGUAGCGGUGAAAUGCAUAGAUAUCACGCAGAACUCCGAUUGCGAAGGCAGCAGACCGGCGCCCAACUGACGCUGAAGCACGAAAGCGUGGGUAUCGAACAGGAUUAGAUACCCUUGUAGUC